This 238-nucleotide ribosomal RNA is filed under the name uncultured bacterium. RNAcentral's name for it is "partial 16S ribosomal RNA". It matches the Rfam family "Bacterial small subunit ribosomal RNA", at positions 15 to 249 of the family's 1533-position model. The record is from RNAcentral.
GAUCCUGGCUCAGGAUGAACGCUAGCGACAGGCUUAACACAUGCAAGUCGAGGGGCAGCACAGGUAGCAAUACCGGGUGGCGACCGGCGCACGGGUGAGUAACGCGUAUGCAACUUGCCUAUCAGAGGGGGAUAACCCGGCGAAAGUCGGACUAAUACCGCAUGAAGCAGGGGCCCCGCAUGGGGAUAUUUGCUAAAGAUUCAUCGCUAUAGAUAGGCGAUGCGGUUCCUACUUAAGG